GUCAACGACCAUACCACGCUGAAAACACCGGUUCUCGUCCGAUCACCGAAGUAGUUAAGCAGCGUUGGGCAUGGUUAGUACUUAGAUGGGUGACCGCUUGGGAACGCCAUGUGUCGUUGGCA
Molecule: ribosomal RNA, 122 nt
Organism: Anopheles aquasalis
Lineage: Eukaryota; Metazoa; Arthropoda; Insecta; Diptera; Culicidae
Source: RefSeq, a predicted model, not a curated record